GCGUACAGAGGGUGUGUUCACAGAGACGUGUGUGAAGGAAACCAGGCAGAGGAGGAGCAGCACGUGGCCACAGAAGGGACCCAGGAAGGGUGGCAACCGGAGCCCAGAAGCAGCAGAGUUCGCAGUGGCCACAUCUAAAGCAAGCCACCGCGACGUGUGGCUCGCCUGUGCUCACAGUCCUUCACGAGACUCCUCCACUUUGCUUGAGGCAGAAAAGAACGAGACACGGAGCUGCCAACAAAGAGCCAGAGAGAGAAAAUGGUGCCGAGCUCAGCGCCCUCGGCCACAGCUGAGUUGGAAAAGGACCUGGCCUGGCCGCUGCUGGAAACAGACCCAC
RNAcentral lists this long non-coding RNA (337 nucleotides) under Marmota monax (woodchuck). The record is from RNAcentral. Lineage: Eukaryota; Metazoa; Chordata; Mammalia; Rodentia; Sciuridae.